GCGGCGGACGGGUUAGUAACGCGUGGGAACAUACCCCUUUCUACGGAAUAGCCUCGGGAAACUGAGAGUAAUACCGUAUAAGCCCUUCGGGGGAAAGAUUUAUCGGGAAGGGAUUGGCCCGCGUUAGAUUAGAUAGUUGGUGGGGUAAUGGCCUACCAAGUCUACGAUCUAUAGCUGGUUUUAGAGGAUGAUCAGCAACACUGGGACUGAGACACGGCCCAGACUCCUACGGGAGGCAGCAGUGGGGAAUCUUAGACAAUGGGCGCAAGCCUGAUCUAGCCAUGCCGCGUGUGUGAUGAAGGUCUUAGGAUCGUAAAGCACUUUCGCCAGGGAUGAUAAUGACAGUACCUGGUAAAGAAACCCCGGCUAACUCCGUGCCAGCAGCCGCGGUAAUACGGAGGGGGUUAGCGUUGUUCGGAAUUACUGGGCGUAAAGCGUACGUAGGCGGAUCAGAAAGUAGGGGGUGAAAUCCCAGGGCUCAACCCUGGAACUGCCUCCUAAACUCCUGGUCUUGAGUUCGAGAGAGGUGAGUGGAAUUCCAAGUGUAGAGGUGAAAU
This 557-nucleotide ribosomal RNA is filed under the name Sulfitobacter sp. I14B-01161. RNAcentral's name for it is "bacterial SSU rRNA". It matches the Rfam family "Bacterial small subunit ribosomal RNA", at positions 95 to 687 of the family's 1533-position model. The record is from RNAcentral. Lineage: Bacteria; Pseudomonadati; Pseudomonadota; Alphaproteobacteria; Rhodobacterales; Roseobacteraceae.